This 31-nucleotide non-coding RNA is filed under the name Mus musculus (house mouse). Lineage: Eukaryota; Metazoa; Chordata; Mammalia; Rodentia; Muridae. The record is from RNAcentral.
UAAACACAUUUGCCAAUACGUUAGUGAGGAC